Molecule: ribosomal RNA, 253 nt
Filed under: uncultured bacterium
Lineage: Bacteria
Description: partial 16S ribosomal RNA
Rfam family: Bacterial small subunit ribosomal RNA
Source: RNAcentral
UACGUAGGGCGCGAGCGUUAAUCGGAAUUACUGGGCGUAAAGCGUGCGUAGCCGGUUAUGUAAGUCAGGUGUGAAAGCCCCGGGCUCAACCUGGGAAUGGCAUUUGAGACUGCAUAGCUAGGGUGCGGAAGAGGGAAGCGGAAUUUCCGGUGUAGCGGUGAAAUGCGUAGAUAUCGGAAGGAACAUCAGUGGCGAAAGCGGCUUCCUGGUCCAGCACCGACGUUCAGGCACGAAAGCGUGGGGAGCAAACAGG